Molecule: ribosomal RNA, 116 nt
Filed under: Sinocyclocheilus anshuiensis
Lineage: Eukaryota; Metazoa; Chordata; Actinopteri; Cypriniformes; Cyprinidae
Source: RNAcentral
GAUAGCAGCCACAUCACCCUGUAGCCCAAGACUGGUUGCCCACUGAAGCUAAGCAGGGCUGAGCCUGGUUAGUACUUGGAUGGGAGACCUCCUGGGAAAACCAGGUGCUGUUGGAA